UGGUCAUUACCAAGGCUUUUAGAAUGCAGUUUCUCAUUUGCUGUGGACAUGACCAUAAAAAAAGUUUCCCACUAGGUUUUAUUUCUGCUACUUUGUAGCAAUCAGCCUGUUGGGAACAUUU
Balaenoptera musculus (blue whale) is the source of this 121-nucleotide small nucleolar RNA. Ensembl annotates it as small nucleolar RNA, H/ACA box 32. Its record names the gene SNORA32. Lineage: Eukaryota; Metazoa; Chordata; Mammalia; Artiodactyla; Balaenopteridae. The record is from Ensembl.